This 1327-nucleotide long non-coding RNA is filed under the name Gallus gallus (chicken). RNAcentral's name for it is "lncRNA (ENSGALG00010027631.1)". The record is from RNAcentral. Lineage: Eukaryota; Metazoa; Chordata; Aves; Galliformes; Phasianidae.
UCUUCUGGGUGAUAGGCUGCUUCCUGAGAUGGAGUGUUCUAUAGCCAGGGACCCACAUCACCAGUUGGGUAUCAAUUGUAUACCUGGAAGAGACAGUCCUACAUUAAGAUCCCUUUGCCUGGGGAAGGAGGACUUUUCUAGUCAAAAGGAAAUACAACUGUAGAUGAAGUCACGCAGACUGGACUCCUUUUGAGAACUUCCUGCCUGCAGAUGAAGCUGCUCACCAAGAUCUGGACGAGGUGAAGCAGCAAGGAGCAGUUCUUGCUCAAUGGGGAUGGGCUCCAGGAAGGACCAGGAUGUAGGACCUUGAACCAGAGAGCCUAGCAUCCAGCUCCAGGGUAUCUGGUGAUGCCUGGGAUGCUGCCCUUAGUGGAUCACCCCAAAAGCAGCCUGAUGAGGAGGUAUUUUUAGGACUGGUUCUGGCAGAGGGAGCCAUGCGCACCCUAUGUGCCUUGGCAGCAUCCAGCCAGGAUAGGAUUCAGGAGUUUCCCAAUAUUUGUACCACUUGUAACCACUCACAAAUCAAAAGCCCUUUUGUAGGAAACAACGUUCUCACCUUUUGGUCUUCAAGCCAAAAAGACAUUCCUUCAGCACUAUAAUUCUCCAAGAAUUUUCUCUGCUUUCAGUGGUUAGGGGAGAAGAUUUUUGACAGUGUUUGUGCUCAUUCCUCUUCCACUCAGAUCUCAUGAAAGCUCAAAGCACACAAAAUUCCUCUCUGCUUCGCUGCAAACAGCUUUACAGCCUCGUGCACGUCCCACCCCAGCUAAUCACACCAUGGCCAAUGCAUUUCUGCUGUCUUUGCAUGUUCCUCCAGAGCAGUUGUCUUCCUGAGCCUGGUGCCAGGAUGCAGCUGUGUAAUGAGGUGAAACACAUUUGGACACCCCUCUCCCUGUUUCUAUGCUUUUGGAGAGGUGAGGACACAGUUGCCGGACCACAACCAGACAACAUCCGUGUGGGGAAGCAUUGGUGGUGGAGAUACCUUGCAGAGCUCUGCAUCUCCACGGAGUGCCCACCACCCACCUGAGACUGGAGAGUACGUGUGUGUUGUUAACGGAUGCAUUUAAUUGUUCACUUACUCCAAAUUUCAAUCUUUUUUCUUUCCUGUAUUAAAAGACAGAGGAAGUGGUCUCUUUGCACCAGCUGUGAAAAUUGUUGCCUUACUAUCCAGUGACUUAGCAAAUAAAACCACUUAGAGCAACUUGUCCUCCUGGCAUGAAUAGUUAUCAAGUUACUAUAGAACACCAUUACUGUUGCUGUCUCCUGGGGAUGCCCCAGUCUCUGUAGGCACAGUAAUGACAUGUUCCUUUUGCUUGCCUCUGGCACAGCA